AGGCUGGAGUGUAGUGGUACGAUCUUGGCUUACUGCAACCUCCACCUCCUGGGUUCAAGCGGCCCUGUCAUCUCAGCCUCCUGAGUAGCUGGGGUUACAGGAGCUCCUUUCUGACAACUUGCAAUUGAUCCAACAUUUGAAACCUUAUGCAGGAGCCGGACAGCUUGGUUUUGAAUUAUAAUCUUACAAAUUACUGGCUGUGUGUUAAAUCUUUAAAUUACUGGCUGUGUGACUUUGUGUAAGUACCUUCACUUCUCUGUGCCUUAGUUUAUGUUAUGUAAAAGGUAUG
This 289-nucleotide long non-coding RNA is filed under the name Homo sapiens (human). RNAcentral's name for it is "non-protein coding lnc-PCDH7-6:4". Lineage: Eukaryota; Metazoa; Chordata; Mammalia; Primates; Hominidae. The record is from RNAcentral.